GCUUACGGCCAUACCAGCCUGGGUACGCCAUCUUCUGAUCUCGGAAGCUAAGCAGGGUCGGGCCUGGUUAGUACUUGGAUGGGAGACCGCCUGGGAAUACCAGGUGCUGUAAGCA
This 115-nucleotide ribosomal RNA is filed under the name Salmo salar (Atlantic salmon). The record is from RNAcentral. Lineage: Eukaryota; Metazoa; Chordata; Actinopteri; Salmoniformes; Salmonidae.